Molecule: long non-coding RNA, 1502 nt
Organism: Gossypium arboreum
Lineage: Eukaryota; Viridiplantae; Streptophyta; Magnoliopsida; Malvales; Malvaceae
Exons: 2
Source: RefSeq, a predicted model, not a curated record
CAAGUGUGCAAGCUGUUGCACAACACAACAGCUAGAGCAUGAAUUUAAGCAUCUGUAUGGAGAUCUUGAAUGCAUCGAGAAACAUUCUUUUCCCACAGAUUCUCACCCAAAAUAUUCAUUUGGAAAACAUAAUGAAAAUCAAUCCAGCAGCGCAGCUGCAAACUUUGUACGUGUCUUACCGUACUAUUUUCUCACAACUUUUCUUUUAUCUCUAGUAGCUUUAAUUUGGCCUCAAGGUCUCCAGCUAUCAGCUUCUCAGAAAGCUCUCCUAUAAGGUUUUGUUGGUUCCAAUCCAAGUCUCUUCUUCUUGGUCUUUGAUGGCACUCCUGACGACAGUCAUUGGAGUUGCUGGUGCCUCCUCUUGGACAUGCCCAUUUCUAUUUUCAGGGUUCUUUCUCAAGGCUGUGAAGCUGCUGUUCUGUAUAGACAGGGCCUUGACGUUCACUAAUGGCCGGAAGCCGUGGCUGCCAUAAAACGACAUUUCUCGACUUCCCUUUCCCUCCCUGCUGCUGGAACUCAACAUUAGAUUUCUUCUUGGAGUUUUCGGUAAUGGCAAUGCCUUCAUCCUUGCUGGUUUUAAUGACGUCAACGCCUGCAAAUCUUACAUGUUUCUUUGUUCCAUUUUUGUUCCUGCUUUUACAAGUAAAUGAGCCACUUAUCCCACUUGAAUCACUAACUUCAAAUUGUUUGCUUGAUGAACCAUACUUGGAGACAUCAAUGGAGGAUUGUGAUACUGAAACUUCUCCACUGGGUUUUCUGAUCCUUCGACGAAGCUUUCUUACAGUAUGACGAGGGACGACAUAGAAUUUUUGACCAGGAGUGAGGAUCUCAUGUGACCGGACCAAUGAAUCCCAUGGUCUCCUAAAAACUUCUGGUCUAGCUAGUACGAAAGAUGGGUAGUUCUUCAUUAUAUUAACUGCAGGGAUUGCCAUGUAAUAGCACUCGACAACCCCACCAGGAUGAACAAUCUUUAGAGCUGAGGUCCCCUGAUUCUCCCUUGGCUCUUGCUGAAGUUGAGCCACUGGUUUAGGCCGACCAUGGCUAUAGAAAGGGGCAAGUUUUCGAACAUUCAGGAACUUGUUAAGCAUUCCAGCAGCCUGUUUUACAAAUAAUGCGAAGUUAUGACAAAUAUGGCUUUGUAUAGAAUCACUUACAAACUGGUUUUUAAUCUUUGAAACAGCGAUGAUUACAAGAAAAAUAUGACUUUUCCAGAUUUUUUACACGUCCAUCUUAAUUUUGUCGAGUUGCAAGUCAAAUGGGGGAUUUUCAACAGCGGAAGAAGAUAACAACUAUGUCACCAUGGAGAGUCCGAGGCCGGCCAUUUGGCUUGUUUAGCUUGGGUUUAGACAUUUAAAUAUGCUAGAGAUUAAUGUUCUGCCAGCUUUAUUCUCAAAAUAUCAAAUCUACAAUGUAAUAGCACCAUCCAAUACCAGAAGAAAACUGUAAUAUGUGGAUAUUCAGUUAUGGUUUCAUGCAUCUACAGGGAUUCAAUUUUUUCUAAA